AGUGAACGCUGGCGGUAGGCCUAACACAUGCAAGUCGAACGGCAGCACAGUAAGAGCUUGCUCUUACGGGUGGCGAGUGGCGGACGGGUGAGGAAUACAUCGGAAUCUACUUUUUCGUGGGGGAUAACGUAGGGAAACUUACGCUAAUACCGCAUACGACCUACGGGUGAAAGCAGGGGAUCUUCGGACCUUGCGCGAUUGAAUGAGCCGAUGUCGGAUUAGCUAGUUGGCGGGGUAAAGGCCCACCAAGGCGACGGUCCGUAGCUGGUCUGAGAGGAUGAUCAGCCACACUGGAACUGAGACACGGUCCAGGCUCCUACGGGAGGCAGCAGUGGGGAAUAUUGGACAAUGGGCGCAAGCCUGAUCCAGCCAUACCGCGUGGGUGAAGAAGGCCUUCGGGUUGUAAAGCCCUUUUGUUGGGAAAGAAAAGCAGCAGGUUAAUACCCCGCUGUUCUGACGGUACCCAAAGAAUAAGCACCGGCUAACUUCGUG
This 492-nucleotide ribosomal RNA is filed under the name uncultured bacterium. RNAcentral describes it as "partial 16S ribosomal RNA". It matches the Rfam family "Bacterial small subunit ribosomal RNA", at positions 29 to 507 of the family's 1533-position model. The record is from RNAcentral.